This 382-nucleotide long non-coding RNA is filed under the name Gossypium raimondii (Peruvian cotton). RNAcentral's name for it is "long non-coding RNA (GRAI_LNC002097)". Lineage: Eukaryota; Viridiplantae; Streptophyta; Magnoliopsida; Malvales; Malvaceae. The record is from RNAcentral.
CAAAUUUGCACACUCACAUUUUACGUAAAAGGGAAAAAUUGGACUAGCGCGAUGGAGGAACGUCUCCCGUAAGAUUCUUGCCUAAAAAGGAAACCAAAUGAGUACUUAAAUAGAGAAUUCAAUUAAAACAAGCAGAAAUCUUGUUUCGACAAAAUAAAUGAUAACAACAUGAAAACUCGCAGAGACGGAAGGAAUUAACUAAUAACUUACACAACAACCGUACAAUCGACACAAUGAGCAAAAAAGAACUCCAAAUUAGCCCAAUAUCAAUUAUGGAAACAAGAAAAAAGAAAAAAAAGAAAAAAAAGGAAAGAAAACAAAAAGAAACAAUGGAAAAUUAGUUUUAAAAGAAACUAAGUUAACCACCAACCAGAUUCCCAAC